AAAGAAACAAAAAUCCUAAAAUAUAUCACAUUUAGUGGACCGCUGCCCAGGACCUCUGGUGGCGAAACUGUAGCGGGUUCCUUCGAUGUCGGCACAUCAAACAUCGACGAUGGAGAAGGAGGUGGCGACGUUGGAGAAGGGCGCGCUCUGCUGCAGCUGGAACUACUGUGGGCAGAGGCUAGCGGUCGGCUUCGUCGACGGCUCCGUCUCCAUCCACGACAACCUGGACUCCGCCUCUUCUUGUUCCUCCAAAUGGAAGGCACAUGCGAGCAGCAUUAAUAAUAUUGUUUGGCUUCCUCCAGAAUUUGGUGAUGCUAUUGCUUGCAUUUCUGCUGAUGGGUCAAUGUCUUUGUGGGAGGAAGUUGAAGACGAUACUCAACCUCUUAAAUGGAAGAUGUGCAAGCUCUUUGAAAGCAGCAAUGUUACUGUACUUGACCUUCAAUUUGGGGUAUAUUCAACAAGUUUGAAGAUGGUUGUGGCAUAUUCAGAUGGACAUGUGAAGGUCUAUGAGCUCUUGGACCCUUUGGAAUUAAACAAGUGGCAACUUCAGGCAGAGUUCCAGAAUGUGAUUGAUUCAGUUUUGAGAUUUGGAAAGCCAUCAUGUGCAAAGGCAUCAAUUGCAUGGAAUCCACGAAGAGGUGAAAGCCAGCAGUCAAGUUUUGUCCUGGGAUUUAAUUCAGAUCUGCCUCAAUUCAAUUCCUCUAAGAUUUGGGAGUUUGAAGAGGAUCAUCAGCGUUGGCUGCCAGUUGCAGAGCUGGCUUUACCAGGUGACAAGGGCGAUAGGGUACAUGCUGUAGCUUGGGCUCCUAAUAUUGGCAGACCUUACGAAGUUAUAGCUGUUGCAACUUGCAAGGGGAUUGCAAUAUGGCAUGUAGGAUUGAAUCCUGAGUCUGAUGGGAGACUCUCAACAGAGAAGGUUGCCUUGCUAUCUGGACAUGAUGGCGAGGUAUGAAAAUGUUUACUUUUUGAAUUUUGAGAAUGUCAAAUCUUUCUGGAAACCGCUAAAGCUGCACACAGCAUGAUGGUUUGACCAAUUAUUUAUCCUUAUUUUUAAGAACUUCCAGCAGUUGGUUGUUCAGCCUUUCUGUUUCUCAUGAUUAACAUUAUAUUGUUUGCACAUAAAAUGCACCAGUGAGUCUUCCCACUGGAUGUCAUUGUCACUAUUUUGCGGAUGGGUGAAUGUAGUUUCCUGAAGUUGACUUGUAAGCCUUUGCGGCUAGAACCUCCAUGGUCGGAUCUUCCUCCCCAAUCUUUAACUUACUGGUGGUGGUUCAGCAAUUUGCCUCAGUGGUACCUUCAAACAAUUUCAACCUGAACUCUAACAAUUUUUCCCCCAACUGUAUAUGCCAGGAAGGUAUGGCAAUUGGAGUGGGAUGUGAGUGGUUUGACAUUAGCAUCAACAGGAGCUGAUGGCAUGGUUAGGCUAUGGCAGUCCAACGUAAAUGGUGUAUGGCAUGAAGAGGCAGCCCUUGAAUGCAACGGGAUGCAGCAGUAGGAAGAUCAAUCAGGCUAUUGGUUGCCUUGCUGUACUUGAUCUCUCGAUCGUCACUUACCUUGGUUAAGAUAGUAAAGCUGCAGCAAAUCUUGCAGAAUGGUAUAUGUAUCCCAUGCAUCUAAACCCCAUUCUUACGAGAGAUUGAUGCGCCGAUGUAGCUUAGCAGAGGAAGGCAUGUUUCAUUUAAAUUUCGAGUUACUUUCUUGUCCCAAAUAAAAAAAAAAUCACUUGCUCGAUUCUUCAAAAUGUUGCCAUGUGAGAGAUGAAAUAUGGUGCAUAUAACAGGUUCACGAAGCUUCUGGA
Molecule: non-coding RNA, 1798 nt
Organism: Elaeis guineensis (African oil palm)
Lineage: Eukaryota; Viridiplantae; Streptophyta; Magnoliopsida; Arecales; Arecaceae
Source: RefSeq, a predicted model, not a curated record